CUGAGUUUACAACUCCCAAACCCAUGUGAACCUUACCUACACGUUGCUUCGGCGGCCACGCCCCGGCGCCCCAGUGCCCGGAACCAGGCGCCCGCCGGAGGACCCCCAAACCAUUGCUGUAUCUAGUGGCAUUGUCUGAGUGGCGUAAAGCAAAUCAAUCA
Molecule: unclassified non-coding RNA, 161 nt
Filed under: uncultured Ascomycota
Lineage: Eukaryota; Fungi; Ascomycota
Description: sequence contains ITS1
Source: RNAcentral